This 1369-nucleotide ribosomal RNA is filed under the name uncultured bacterium. RNAcentral's name for it is "bacterial SSU rRNA". It matches the Rfam family "Bacterial small subunit ribosomal RNA", at positions 28 to 1381 of the family's 1533-position model. The record is from RNAcentral.
GACGAACGCUGGCGGCGUGCCUAAUACAUGCAAGUAGAACGCUGAAGAGAGGAGCUUGCUCUUCUUGGAUGAGUUGCGAACGGGUGAGUAACGCGUAGGUAACCUGCCUUGUAGCGGGGGAUAACUAUUGGAAACGAUAGCUAAUACCGCAUAACAAUGGAUGACACAUGUCAUUUAUUUGAAAGGGGCAAUUGCUCCACUACAAGAUGGACCUGCGUUGUAUUAGCUAGUAGGUGAGGUAACGGCUCACCUAGGCGACGAUACAUAGCCGACCUGAGAGGGUGAUCGGCCACACUGGGACUGAGACACGGCCCAGACUCCUACGGGAGGCAGCAGUAGGGAAUCUUCGGCAAUGGGGGCAACCCUGACCGAGCAACGCCGCGUGAGUGAAGAAGGUUUUCGGAUCGUAAAGCUCUGUUGUAAGUCAAGAACGAGUGUGAGAGUGGAAAGUUCACACUGUGACGGUAGCUUACCAGAAAGGGACGGCUAACUACGUGCCAGCAGCCGCGGUAAUACGUAGGUCCCGAGCGUUGUCCGGAUUUAUUGGGCGUAAAGCGAGCGCAGGCGGUUUGAUAAGUCUGAAGUUAAAGGCUGUGGCUCAACCAUAGUUCGCUUUGGAAACUGUCAAACUUGAGUGCAGAAGGGGAGAGUGGAAUUCCAUGUGUAGCGGUGAAAUGCGUAGAUAUAUGGAGGAACACCGGUGGCGAAAGCGGCUCUCUGGUCUGUAACUGACGCUGAGGCUCGAAAGCGUGGGGAGCGAACAGGAUUAGAUACCCUGGUAGUCCACGCCGUAAACGAUGAGUGCUAGGUGUUGGAUCCUUUCCGGGAUUCAGUGCCGCAGCUAACGCAUUAAGCACUCCGCCUGGGGAGUACGACCGCAAGGUUGAAACUCAAAGGAAUUGACGGGGGCCCGCACAAGCGGUGGAGCAUGUGGUUUAAUUCGAAGCAACGCGAAGAACCUUACCAGGUCUUGACAUCCCGAUGCUAUUUCUAGAGAUAGAAAGUUACUUCGGUACAUCGGUGACAGGUGGUGCAUGGUUGUCGUCAGCUCGUGUCGUGAGAUGUUGGGUUAAGUCCCGCAACGAGCGCAACCCCUAUUGUUAGUUGCCAUCAUUCAGUUGGGCACUCUAGCGAGACUGCCGGUAAUAAACCGGAGGAAGGUGGGGAUGACGUCAAAUCAUCAUGCCCCUUAUGACCUGGGCUACACACGUGCUACAAUGGUGGGUACAACGAGUUGCGAGUCGGUGACGGCAAGCUAAUCUCUUAAAGCCAAUCUCAGUUCGGAUUGUAGGCUGCAACUCGCCUACAUGAAGUCGGAAUCGCUAGUAAUCGCGGAUCAGCACGCCGCGGUGAAUACGUUCCCGGGCCU